CAACCCUGACGUUUACGAAUACUAAUGAUGACAUGUAAUUGUAAAUAUUCCUUUAUUCAGGUAAUUGCAUUCUUGGUCUCGAAAUCGAAGACAGUCAGAGGAUCAGAGGCGACAGUCUUCAGGUAUUUGCAAUUUUCGGGCCUGGACAAUAAAUCCAAGCAACUGCGAAGUUACGUGUCAGUCUUAUUUUAAUAUGGAUACAGCGUCU
This 208-nucleotide unclassified non-coding RNA is filed under the name Athalia rosae (coleseed sawfly). Its description in RNAcentral is "misc RNA ENSAEAG00005010310.1". Lineage: Eukaryota; Metazoa; Arthropoda; Insecta; Hymenoptera; Athaliidae. The record is from RNAcentral.